This 552-nucleotide ribosomal RNA is filed under the name Fusarium sp. G338. RNAcentral's name for it is "eukaryotic LSU rRNA". The stretch from base 202 to 355 matches the Rfam family "5.8S ribosomal RNA". Lineage: Eukaryota; Fungi; Ascomycota; Sordariomycetes; Hypocreales; Nectriaceae. The record is from RNAcentral.
GAAGUAAAAGUCGUAACAAGGUCUCCGUUGGUGAACCAGCGGAGGGAUCAUUACCGAGUUUACAACUCCCAAACCCCUGUGAACAUACCUAUACGUUGCCUCGGCGGAUCAGCCCGCGCCCCGUAAAACGGGACGGCCCGCCCGAGGACCCUAAACUCUGUUUUUAGUGGAACUUCUGAGUAAAACAAACAAAUAAAUCAAAACUUUCAACAACGGAUCUCUUGGUUCUGGCAUCGAUGAAGAACGCAGCAAAAUGCGAUAAGUAAUGUGAAUUGCAGAAUUCAGUGAAUCAUCGAAUCUUUGAACGCACAUUGCGCCCGCCAGUAUUCUGGCGGGCAUGCCUGUUCGAGCGUCAUUUCAACCCUCAAGCUCAGCUUGGUGUUGGGACUCGCGGUAACCCGCGUUCCCCAAAUCGAUUGGCGGUCACGUCGAGCUUCCAUAGCGUAGUAAUCAUACACCUCGUUACUGGUAAUCGUCGCGGCCACGCCGUAAAACCCCAACUUCUGAAUGUUGACCUCGGAUCAGGUAGGAAUACCCGCUGAACUUAAGCAU